This is an RNA transcript of Belonocnema kinseyi, 3778 nucleotides long. RefSeq lists it as uncharacterized. NCBI's taxonomy places the organism in Eukaryota, Metazoa, Arthropoda, Insecta, Hymenoptera, Cynipidae. The transcript has 8 exons. The record is from RefSeq and is a predicted model, not a curated record.
CGAAAAAUAUUUUUACAAAUUGUUUUGUAAAACCCUAGUCUGAGUACACUUUUAUUUUAUAUGAUGAGUUUAUUAGGGCUCUUGAAAAUUUGUUGACUCCAAGGAUUCAAAGUAUUAGACAAAUUUGAAAAAUGAAGAUUUUUCCAUUCUUUGAUUAAGAUUAACAUCUGUUCAUAUAAUCUGGGAAUAAGAAUUGAAUUGACAGCAAUUAUAAUAUAUAAUAAACAUUUGCUUGAAACUAUACUUACUCGCAAGACUUUUUUAUACUUUCUUCUUCUUUUGCAGAAAUAGAUUUCUGUUCUGCAAAUAUUUUCAAUUUAUUUUCAAUCGCAUGUGUUUGGCAAAUUAGAGAAGCUACGGAUCUUGCUAAUUUCCUGUUAGAUAAAAUCCCAUAAGAACUAUUCCUGAAAAUGAUUUGAUAUUGAGAAAAAGUGUUUGGUUAACGAAGUCUUGUGCCAAAAACAUACCAAACAUUAGAAUCUUCAUUUUCACUAUUAAUUAAAUUACUUCUUUCUGUUAUGGCAUUCAUACUUUUCAUUCUAUUUUCCCUAAGACUUUGAUUUCGAAGUAAAAAAGUAAAAUUGAUAAAAAUAUAAUGUCUUCGUGUCAUCCGCGGCUAGAAACAAAUUAUUGAAGGAAUGAAAAAACAGAGUCCUAUGUUUUUGACACCUUCGGCCAAAUUCACACAAAUGGCCAAUUUCUAACCAUGUCUUUAAAUAUAACACAUUUUUAAAAUAUAUUAAAUUAGAAUGAGAAAAUUGAAACAGCAAAAUUAAUUUUAAACAAAAUUAGGCCUGAAUAUGAAUUUCUGGCUGGAUUUUAACAUACAAAUGACAAAUGACAUACGAAUGGAAUGAAAAUGUUACCCUGAAGUUUUUGGAAGAAUAUAAAAAAUACGAGUGCCUCUGGAACCCAAAUUCUAUCCAGUAUUUUAAUUGCUGUUCAAAAGAAGACGUAAUUCGGAAAAUUAUUGAUAAAUUAAACAUCCCGUUUUUAACACCAGCUGAGUGCCAGUGUCAAAUAGAGACAAUAACAAGAAAAUAUGAAGAAGAGCAAACAAAAAUUCUCCACGGUUUGCACUCGGGAAAACCAUACAAAUCGAAUCUUUCUUGGUAUCCUUUGAUGCAAGAAAUGUUAACAAAAUCUCUUAGCAAUGGAAUUGACGAAACACUUAGAAUAACAGUUUGUACAAAUUUAAUACCAGAUAAGAAAAAAAAGACCCAAAUAAGUAAAAAGACGAAAACGAAUCAUCUAUGUGGAAAUAAAAUUAUAAAUAAAUUAUUCAAAGAGAAAAGUAGUCCGAAUAAAGAAGGGAAUACGAAAAUGAUGAGUUAUAAUUCUAUAAAGUACGGUCCGUGUCCAGGAAUUGGGAAUAAUCAUUUGUGUGCUAGAUUGGAUGAUAGGACAGACAGUGAAGAUAGUAGAUCUAGAACCGGUCUGAACAAUUAUCCAGGGGAAUCGAUUUGUAUAAGGGAAAUUAAAAAAAGACGAGACAUUCCCAGAAAUAAUUUAUCGAAAAAAUCAACUGAAUGUUCUCCCCGUUGUCGGGGGCACUCAGAAAAUUUUCAUUACGCAGCAAGAGACAAUUAUAAUAUUUCAAACAAAACCCCUUAUUUCAGCAAGGGGAAAAACUCUGAUUUGAAUUACAAUGAGUUUAGAAAUCAAUAUCAAAGAAGAUUUUUGCCAUGUCCGAAUAGUGUGAAACCUCCGGAUCAACUUUUUUCUUCUAAUCAAAGAAAUUCGUAUAAAAACUCAAACAAUGUAGAAACCUAUUGCCCUAAGAUAACCACAUGUGGGAAUAAUUUUCACAAAACCACAGAAUUAUAUAAUCGACAAUUUCAAGAAUUUCCUCAAUCCAAUGCAAUUCUAAAUAAGCAAUCUUGUCUCAGAAAUGGAGAUCAAAUUUUUCCUACCACCGAUAACCAGGGAAUUGUUCAAUUUACUCCAAAGUUCGCCACUAAAUGCGAAAAUGGUACAUGCGAGGCUGUUUCUCAGUUAAAUAUUAACAUACAAUGUGGAGAAAAAUCUUUGGAUAAUAGAAAUAUUCAUACGAAAACGAAUCGGGAAACCCAAACAUUUUUGGAGAGAAAGCAGCAAUCAGUUUCUACAAAUUUGGUGAAUUUUGAAACAAAAGAAACUCAAGAUGAAGUUGGAAGACAGACGAAGCAAACUGGGACUGAUUUUGAAGAUUUUAAUCAAAAUGUUGAAAAUACCGUUUGUGUUUCGCGUUCACAGAGUGAUUAUAUUCUUCUGAUGCCUGGGGGAAAGUCUUUAAGACUUUCUAAGAAAUCUUCUAGAGAAAAAUUUAUGGAAUGUCCGGGUGCGAAUGAAAAUAGAUUUGUUGACGAUGAGGUAUUCUCUGUUUGUACUGAAGCAUCAUGUCAAGACUCAAAAUUAGUUGAUUCAGAUACAAUGACAACUCCUCAGUUAAUUCAAUGUGUAGAAGAAAUGCUAAAUAUCAGAAAUAAUUAUCAAGCAGAUGAAGUACAAUCAGUUAAUUUAUCGAAAACCGGAAAUAGAGAAGUGGAAGAAUGUAAGGCCUGCAAGAAUUUUGAAAUUGAUGACGAGGAUUUGAGAUUCUGUUUUAAAAAGCUUUUUAAUAAAGAUUUGUCAACUUCAGAUUGUUUUCCUUGCUUAAAAGAAAAGAUUCAUCAAGAAUCCACAGGGGAACUUACAAAAACGUUAUUGACUAUUUUGAAAUAUGCUCUAGACUUGGAUAACAAAGCAGAAAAUAAUUUGAAGGGUUGGUGGGUUAAAUCGAAACACAAGCCGGAGAUGAUUAAAAGAAUUUGUAAAUGUAUAAAAAAGUUGUCAGAGAUCGAGGCAGAAAAAGGAUUAUUUUCAAAAAAUACUCUCAUUGAAGAAAGUAGAAAAUAUUCAAAACAAGUAGAAACUGAAAAUGCAGCUUUAAUUUCUCGAAGUACGAAUACAUUUGCGGAAAAUACUCCGGUAGAAAUCAGUCACAUUACUCUCAAAAAUGUAGAAACCAAUACAGAUUUUGCUGAUCGUCAAAAAGAUGUUGGUACAAGUCCCAUUAAUACAAAUUUUCCUGAUCGUCAAAAAGAUAUUGGAACAAGUCCCAUAGAAAAUAUAAGAUCAACAGAUGCUAUGACCCAAGUUAUAGCACAUUUCUCACCAAAAAUUAUAAAUAAAGGAAAAAGUAUUGGGACUCAAAAAAGAGAUCCCAUUUUUGUAAGAGUAGUUUCAGCAAAUGAUCGUCCAAAAAUGACGACAACACAAUCGAAAUCUUCUCAGUCUUCUCAAUCUGGUGUCGAAGACAGUAAAAAAAAUAACUGUAAACGUGUUCUUUUCAAUGAGAAAAAAAAAUUUGAAUGUCCCAAGAAAUAUUUUAGAUGUAUAAAAGAUUGUAAGGAACUAAAUUGUUCGAAAAUUCGAAUUGCGGGUAGGAACAACAGUAGAGUAAAGAAGAAACUUUUGGAUAACAAAUUAACAGAUGUUCCCAAAAGUAAAAGUUUAGAAAACAAAAAGAUAUUUUUCAGUGAUUUCUGUUUGGAGAGUGAAAAUUUGCCGAUUACAUGAUGAAAAAUGUAUUCAAUAACAUGUCCAGUGUCCGCAGUUGAACAAUUUUGCAGAAGUAAAAAAUGCUUAAUCAACCGCAAGGUCAAUUUUUAUAUUCUGAACGAGAAAUCAUCAUAAUAACAUGAUCAUAAUUAUAAAUGCAAUUUUAUGCAACUAACUGGAUUUGAAUCUGAAUAAGAAACGGGUCAUUACCUUGUCUAAAUAAUUAACUCAGGUCAAGGAUGGAGAAGAAAUAGAA